Long non-coding RNA from Peromyscus californicus insignis, 561 nucleotides. RefSeq lists it as uncharacterized. NCBI's taxonomy places the organism in Eukaryota, Metazoa, Chordata, Mammalia, Rodentia, Cricetidae. The record is from RefSeq and is a predicted model, not a curated record. The transcript has 3 exons.
GUCUGUAUGUCAAAUGUGUUGCUGAUUGGUCAAUGAAUAAAUCACUGAUUGGCAGUGGCCAGGCAGGAAGUAUAGGCGGGACUAACAGAGAGGAAAAUUGAGAGAACAGGAAGCUGGGGAGGGAGACACUGCCAGCCGCCAUCAGGACAAGGAAGAUGUAAAGUGCCGAGCUCCUUCUGAAGACAGGACAAGAGCCUUGGGUGGAUGGAGAGCCAGAGCUGGGAAGUGCACCUCAGGAUUUGGACCCAGGUGGUCGGAGUAGCCGAGGGGCCUUUCUCAACAAGGACCUGCUCCAAGAUCUGCAUGGUGGCCAAGGGCCCAACUUGGACACCUGAGCAUUUCUUCCAAGUCCCGAUUCUAUUUAGAAGCUGGCUUGGGACAAGGGCAGGGCCUGCGGCCACUCUUAACAUGACCUUCGAUCUCCACAGUCUUCCUGGCCCCUGCUCAAGUGCAGAGAUAUAAUCUGCUUCUCUUAAGAGGUGAGAGCAUGCCAUCCUGAUCAUGGAAGCCCGUGCCACACAGGCUGGGCUUGAGACAGAUGCCUACAAAACAUGAGUAAGG